AAUGUGCAAUUUCCAUGUACAUUUCUGAUCGUACCAAAUUCCAAGGUAUUUAGAGCUGGUUGCCUGACAUAUGUUUUCUAAACCCAGUAGUAGUUGGACUUUCGAUGGAAAAACUUUUUUUGGAAAAUACUACUAUUUCUGACUUACUAGACGAAAAUGUAAAUCCUAGGUCGUUCGCCCAUUUCAUUAGAUUAUUCAAUGUAAUUUGUAAAUAAUGUUUUGCUAGAGCUAAGUUUUUAACAAACGUCCAAAUACAGCUAUCAUCGGCGUAUUGAACUAAAAUGCACUUGUUGUGGAAGCAUUUAUCCAUAUCACUGGUAUAUAUAUUAUAAAGCAACGGACUUAAAACAGAUCCCUGCGUUAAUCCGAUGAAACUACAACGAAUUUGUGCUAUCUUAUUGUUUUGUUCAAAAUGCAAUUCCUUGAAAGAGAGCAAUGAAUAAAGAAAGUUUACUAGGGUAAUUGUUCCCAUCGUUGUGGUAGUACCUAAUGUUGCGGUAAUGGUUAAUUGAGCACUUUUUCGACUGAAAUUUUACCAAAAGGUAUUUUUAAUAGAUGUAUUGUGCUUAAAUUAUGAGAUUGCACCAUUUGUUUGCUUAAGAUUUGCCCAAAAACCUAUUUAAAAAAAAAAUAUUUUCCUUAAUGUGUUUGCUGCUGUGUUCCUAUUGUUGCGGUAGUGUUCCUAAUGUUGCGGUAUCCCAUAUGAUUUCAAUGGGAUACCGCAACAUUAGGAACAAAUACCGCAACAUUAGGAACAAAUACCGCAACAAUAGGAACACAAUGUUCUUUUAGAUAAAAACGAAUAAAAUGCUCAUAACAACCUCAAACUGGCAAUAUUUCGUUAUUUUCCCGUAGAUAAAGGAUAGAUUUUAUUAUUUUUAAUUCAAUCCAUGUAAAAAAUUUGCUUGGGGCGAUACAAUUGUGGUUUAAGCAUGAACCCAGUGCUUAACUGCUCCAUGAUCGGAUCAAUUACCCUAGUUGAUUUGGAACUCCUAGGUCGUUCAUCUUUUUACAGAGUACAUCAAUUAAUACAGAGUCAUAGGCACCUUUGAUGUCCAAAAAUACAGUUGCAAGCUCCUGUUUCAAAGUAUAGGCUAAUUGAAUAUCGGUUGCCAAUAACACUUGACAGUCUCGUGUACUUCUGGAUUGUCUUAAUCCAUACUGUGUAGGAAAUAAAAUGUUAUUCUUUUCGGCCCAGGACUCUAAACGAAAUUGAAUCAUUUUCUCCAAAGUUUUCCGAUAACACGAUAGUAUCCCAAUGGGACGGUAUGACUCUGCAUAGCAUGGAUUUUUGCCAGGUUUUUGAAUUACCACAAUUUUAACAGCUGACCAUGAUCUGGGAAUGGCAUUAUUUUGAACAACCCAAUUGAAACAGUUUAGUAAAAGCUGCUUAGUUUGUUCUGGUAAUUUUUUAAUUAAAAGGAAUUUCACGUUGUCUAGUCCUGGUGAUGUAUUAUUACAAGCUGAUAGGGCAUGUUCCAGUUCAGCAAUAGCAUAGUCCUGAUUUAAAUCUAAGGCAGAAUCCGAGUUUUCACUUCUAAAUUUCGGGCUAUCACCCGGAACAAAUGAAGGGCAUAUAAUUUGAGCAAAAUCUUAAAUCCAUUCAGAAUUAUACCUAUCCAAGUUACACGGCGUUUACUUUUUGCUUCUAUUUUUCGGUAAUUCAGAUAAUGUUCAGUCAAACCUGAUCUUCUGAACAUUUUGAAUGCUUCUGAUCUUUGAUUGACAAUUUCGGUGCAAUCUGAAUCCCACCAUAUUGUAGGAGUUUUUGAUCGGCGAGGGUUUUUCAUUAUUGCGGCUUCAUAGAUAGCCUAAGUCAAUAAAGGAUAUAGUUCAUUCGGUUGAAUAUCAUGGAAGUUUACGGUAGCAUUCAAAAUCGAUGAUGAGUAAUCAUCCCAAUUUAUGUGUCGGUAGAGAUCAAACGAUAUAGUUGUAUGUUCGAAAUUGUAAGUACCAAAUGUUGUAUGGACAGAAAGGUGGUCACUGUUUGCUGGAUCGUUCAUGACUGUCCAGGAUGAAUUUAGUGCAAGGGCUGAAGAACACAAAGACAAAUCAACUCGGCUACAUUUUUGAGGUGGCCAAGCUAUACGCGUAAUUUCUCCAGUAUUUAAAACAGAAAGUUGAAACUCGUCUAGCGCAUCAUAAAUAAGAUUAGCUCUAGCGUCAUCUACUGAUUCUCCCCAUUCAGUGCCGUGUGAAUUAAAAUCGCCUAAUAUAAAUGCUGGCUGAGGAAUUUGGCGAAUUACGUUACGCAAUAUGUUGUGAUCUAAUUUUGCUGAUGGAGCUAUGUAAACGGAAGCAACUGUAACUCUUCGUUUAUCGAUUAUGAUGGAACACGCGACUAUUUCAAUUGGGAAAGAACUGUCGAUCCUUACACGUUCGAAAGAGUAGUUACUUUUAAUGCCAAUCAAUACUCCUCCGGCUCGAGUAUCACGAUCCAGACGAACAAUGUUAAACGAGGGAACGCUGAAGAACAAACUUUCCACAAGGAAUGUUUCCGAGAGUACGAAGCAAUCUGCUUCUAUCUGAUUAAUAAAAUUACGAAGAUCUCCUAUUUUUGGCAAAAUGCUUCUGCAAUUCCAUUGUAAAAUGUAAAACCUAUUUUUAUGAUUUGAAUUAGCCAUCGAUAGAUACAAACAAACCAAGGAGGGGCAAUGACGUUAUGAGUUUGGAGAGAAUGGUCUUGAGGAUGGGAGUCAAUUUCAACAAAAGGUUGACCCAGAGGUUACUUAGAUCAAAAGUUUCUGUGAAGAGGUGAAUCAGCUGAGGAAUAUCGAAUUUAUCGGUGCUUUGCUUCGACUGGUUCGCGGAAGUUUCUUCCUGAUGGUGGGAGCGGUGGAAAAUCGUCUUUCUUGAAUCCAGGAAUUUCUUGAGACGACCUCGUUUGUUUCGAAGAUUGGUCUAAAGGGAACGAAAUCUUUUCGUUCUCCUGUUUUGCACGUUUUGGGUUUUUAACUGGUCGCAGUUUUUUCCUCUUUGGAGGAACGUACCUGCUAUGAUGUGCUUCCUCCGCUUCUUCAUCAAAAUCUGACAUGUCACUCAACGAACUGUAGGUGUUUUCAUGCUCAAAGCUUUGCGAAACCGAAGCUUUUACCAUGGCUGCGUAACUCAUUUUUGACUUCUGAACAACUCUCGCUUUGGCUAGCUUCAUCUGUUUUUUAUAUAUGGGCCACUCAUUCUUGUACAUGUGAGAACCCUUGCAAUACAGACAAGCUGGUUGCUCAAUUGUACAUUCACCUUCUGUGUGGCGUUUACCACUCGUAUCACAACAAGCCUUAUUCGAACAAUAGGUUUGUGUAUGACCAAACCUUUUGCAUUUCGCACAAAGCAUGACCUUCGGGGUAUAUACGCGAACACGAAUGAGAGCCUGACCUAUUUCGACAUAAUCUGGAAGAAUUGUUCCUUCAAACGUAACACGAAUAUCGUUGCUGGGAAUGUAGGUUUUCGUAUUGCCUUCGACCUGCACUUCGGCUAGUUGUUGGCAUUCAAGAAUAGACACCUGAGGAAUACGCGGAUCAUCAAAUCUUCCGAACCCCUCAUUAGUAAGGCCCCCUCAGGACCCCGCAGGUCCAUUUCAGCUUGAUUAAUUACCCCAUCGAUCUCUACUCUUUCGCUAGUAAUGUAGACUCGAUAAAGCCGGCUGAGAAGCUCGUUAUAUACUACAUUGUUGGCUUCUGACCGGUGGGAGAAAACAAUGCGAACCUUAAUGAAUCCGAGCUGUUUAACUUCCUUCACUGACCAAAAAUGUUUAUGAACUUCUGCGGAAACGAGUAGAACCUUUACUGGCUUAUCUUUCUGGCGAACGAACACUUCGAACGGACCCUUACAGGACUCUGGGUAGCAUCUGUGCCGAAGAGGCAUUUGGUUAGGAAGUGUCUGAGAGGCAUUGGCGGUUGGCGACGGAGGCGUGGAGGAGGUGGCUUUGGGUGAUGACGACGGCAGUGAUGGUGGAUGGACGUGGGCUGAUGGCAGUUGUUGAGGCUGGGCACGAAGGUCAGCUUGGGUGGACGAUGAGAGCACUGGCGGCGGAGGAGGAUCGGACUGAGACAGUUGUGAUUGUAGAAUCGGCUGUAGCUGCUGAGCGGAACUUUGAGGGUCAGGAGGCUUAACCUUAAGCGGGGGUUCCUCACUGUGGUCACUGUCUUGGUCCAUGACUUGCAAUGGAAGCAACGCUCCCAAGCAGGUCCGACCCUUUGUUGGUCUCGAAACUACAGGCACUCGAUUAGAAAAAAUGAACGUAAAAAAGUACUUAUCUGGAAGUAAAGCCGAAAGAGAGAUAGCGCAACAAAUGAGAUCCAUGAGAUCACAGCACCAAUAUACAUUUCUGUACUGAAACGCAGCUGGAUAUAAGACACAACCGUACUCGUCAAUAGAUGCGAAGCAACUGUGUUACCUGGUUAUCAUUCGUUUGAUAAUAGAGUUUGUUAUCAUUUAGAUUGAAUUAAGAGCCAACAUAACAAAAAUAAUAACUUAAAUUUACUUCGCGAAUACCAAAAUGAUAAGAAGUUAAGUUAUCAUUGAGAUCAAGUUUAUAACUAAUUGUGUUAUACAAUAUUUUGUUGAACAUUACAUUUAGUUAUCAACAUGAAAAAUUACGGCUGAUUGAUAACUGGUUUUGUUAUCAAUUAGUUAUCAUUAAGAGCUAUUUUAUCGACCAAAUUAGUAAAAAUCUACUUUACCGACGCCAUCAGUAAUUGAAAAAAAUUUCUUAUAAUUUACAACUAAUGUUGUCAACUAUUGCGCCCAGGCGGGUCUUGAACCCUGAUCGAGUGAUUGCCGGUCGCAGCCGAUAGCCCCUAUACCAACGGGACUCAGUGAGAGUAAUUGAAGGCUACGCUUUCGUACUGCAGUCGCAUUGAAGGUGGAAAACUGAAUCUAUUUUUAGAUUCGAGGUUCACCAGACACUCAGUUUUGGGAAAGCUUUGACAUAUGCGUUUUGAAGCUGAUAACAUAUUGUCGCGCUUAUCUUUUCUUAGAGUCCUGCGGCGGUCGUACGCUCGCAAGGCAUACCGCCGCAUGACAGUCGCAAGGCAAAACAAAAGAAAAAGUGUUUCCGCCAAUAACAAAAGCACGUGGGUUUCGCAAAGUGACACAUGUUUUGAAUGUAUUUGUGACGAACGGCAAGAGUCCCGGAUAAAAAAUUACCAUUCAGUACAUGGUAAAUAUUAUUAACAUAUGACUGGUUUUAUUGUUCACAAUUAUACACAUAGAAGAUAUAUUGUUACUUUUUACAAUAGAAAUCAUAUGGGCUUGAAGUUCGUACAAUAAGUGAACAUUAGCUUUAUUAGUGACUAAUUAAUUCGAUUGUUUUUCAAUAGUUCUAUAAUAAUUUGAAAUUACUAUCAGUAAAAAUUAAUUUAAGUUGUUUUUAUAGAGUUGCAAAAGUGCCUGCAAAGUUCUCUUGGACUUUUUAUUAAAAAAGAGAUUAUUUCUCAAUUACA
Aedes albopictus (Asian tiger mosquito) is the source of this 5441-nucleotide long non-coding RNA. RefSeq lists it as uncharacterized. NCBI's taxonomy places the organism in Eukaryota, Metazoa, Arthropoda, Insecta, Diptera, Culicidae. The record is from RefSeq and is a predicted model, not a curated record. The transcript has 2 exons.